RNAcentral lists this transfer RNA (77 nucleotides) under Lentisphaerota bacterium. RNAcentral describes it as "Lentisphaerae bacterium (hot springs metagenome) tRNA-Arg". It matches the Rfam family "tRNA". From Rfam's summary of the family: Transfer RNA (tRNA) molecules are approximately 80 nucleotides in length. The record is from RNAcentral. Lineage: Bacteria; Pseudomonadati; Lentisphaerota.
GCCCCCGUAGCUCAGUUGGACAGAGCAUGGGAUUUCUAAUCCCAGGGUCGCAGGUUCGAAUCCUGCUGGGGGCGCCA